Phragmites australis (common reed) is the source of this 1874-nucleotide RNA transcript. It is a transcript of the gene named serine/arginine-rich-splicing factor SR34-like, with no coding region annotated. Lineage: Eukaryota; Viridiplantae; Streptophyta; Magnoliopsida; Poales; Poaceae. The record is from RefSeq and is a predicted model, not a curated record. The transcript has 14 exons.
CCCUCGCCUCCUCCUCUCUUCUCAUAACCUCAUCCCCGCCCCCUCGAGCUCGCGGCCGCGGAAGCCAAACCCUAGCCUCGACCCGCCCCGCCCCGCCCCGCCCUUCCAGACACCGCGUGUUCCGGUUGCAGCAGGGGAGGAUGAGCAGGCGCUGGAGCCGGACGAUCUAUGUCGGGAACCUCCCUGGCGACAUCCGGGAGAGGGAGGUGGAGGAUCUGUUCUACAAGUAUGGGAGAAUUGUUGACAUUGACUUGAAGGUCCCCCCAAGGCCGCCUGGUUAUGCUUUUGUUGAGUUUGAAGAUCCUCGUGAUGCUGAAGAUGCAAUUGCUGGGCGGGAUGGUUACAACUAUGAUGGAAACCGUCUAAGAGUUGAAGCUGCACAUGGUGGGAGGAGUAAUGCUUCCUCGCAUGAUCGUUCAAGUGGCUUUGGUGGUGGAGCACGCCGUGGUGUGUCGAGGCACUCUGAGUAUCGUGUUCUUGUUACUGGACUGCCUUCUUCUGCAUCAUGGCAAGAUUUAAAGGACCAUAUGAGGAAGGCUGGUGAUGUUUGUUUCUCUGAAGUGUACCGUGAAGGCGGUGGCACCGUAGGGAUUGUGGACUACACAAACUAUGAUGAUAUGAAAUAUGCUAUUAAGAAACUGGAUGAUACUGAAUUCAAGAAUGCCUUUGGGCGAGCUUUUAUAAGGGUGAAGGAAUAUGAUGGCAAACGUGGCCGCUCCUAUUCACGUAGCCGAAGCCCAAGUCGUAGCUACAGCAGAAGCAGGAGCCCAUCCAAAUCUCCCAGGGCCCGCCGUUCAGCAUCUAGAUCCCGUUCGAGGUCUGCUUCUUCCCGUUCAAGGUCAGCAUCAAAAGGACGUUCUCCGUCAAGGUGUUCAGAUUCUCUUAUGAACGACAUGAACUGCUUAGUCUUUUGUGUGUUUUGUUUUUGAAGACUCGAUUAUCUCAUCAUUUUAUCUGGGAUUGUGCGGUGAUCUGGGGAUUGCGCAUUAGGAUAUUGAGGAUGGGAUUUUCUCAAUUUGCUACAGUUCAGUUGGUUGUAUGAGGUAUGCUCGUUAAUUGAGAGCUUCUAUGGAAAGCUAAAAUCAUCCAGUUUUUUUACCUAAUGUACUGUAACUGAUUACCAUCAGAGCUUGGGCAUAGCGCAUUGUUUGGAAUACCGGACAUAAGAGCGUUAAGGAUUGAUGAUCUGGAUUAUGGUGGUACAAUUGCUAGGAAUGUGCUUGGAGUUCAAUGCUCGGGGAAUGAGUUUUCUUCCUGCCUCGUGCAUACUUGAGAUGGUUGCUGUAGUUCACACGCAAUUCGCAUUUAACACUACAACUUUACAUUAUUGCAUGCUUUGGACUUACGGAACUGGAUGAUUCUACCUUCAAUGAGCUUUUAUCGCUGGGCAAGGCGUCAAGGCUUUUGGAAUCAAGUUGUUAAACUUGCAUUUUGGAUAUUGAAUUCAGUUGUUUCUGGAACCUUUUUGCAGAUCACCAGCAAGAUCAAAAUCUCCUAAUGCUUCUCCAGCAAAUGGUGAAGUAGGAAGUCCCAAGAAACAGAGCCCAAGCAGGAGCCCAUCUGGCUCACGCUCUCCCGAUGCCAAACCCGAAUAGAAAUGCUGUGCCGAUGAGGAAUUGCAGAUGGAGUCCUGAGCUUCCCGUGUCUGGAUACUUGAUAUCCUCUAUGUUGUUUGAGUACCAUCAGUUUUCUUAGCAACUGUGCAAUGAGAUAUCAUGAUAUUAACUAUCAGCUUGUAUCGAUGGAAACUCCAGACUUAGGCCCUGCUAUUGUUGUCAGGCCUGUGUAAGGGCUUAUUUACUUCGACUAUUAUUGAAUGCUAUGUGGGUUAUAUUGACUAAAACUCAUGUUGAAUUGUUCUGGACCUCAUGCCA